CAGUAGCCACGGGAAUACGGAGGGAGCUAGCGUCGUUCGGAAUUACUGGGCGUAAAGCGCGCGUAGGCGGUUACUCAAGUCAGAGGUGAAAGCCCGGGGCUCAACCCCGGAACUGCCUUUGAAACUAGGUGACUAGAAUCUUGGAGAGGUCAGUGGAAUUCCGAGUGUAGAGGUGAAAUUCGUAGAUAUUCGGAAGAACACCAGUGGCGAAGGCGACUGACUGGACAAGUAUUGACGCUGAGGUGCGAAAGCGUGGGGAGCAAACAGGAUUAGAUACCCGCGUAGUCCCUGUCUCUUAUAC
This 301-nucleotide ribosomal RNA is filed under the name uncultured bacterium. Its description in RNAcentral is "partial 16S ribosomal RNA". It matches the Rfam family "Bacterial small subunit ribosomal RNA", at positions 509 to 807 of the family's 1533-position model. The record is from RNAcentral.